RNAcentral lists this ribosomal RNA (537 nucleotides) under soil bacterium T19. Its description in RNAcentral is "bacterial SSU rRNA". It matches the Rfam family "Bacterial small subunit ribosomal RNA", at positions 324 to 871 of the family's 1533-position model. RNAcentral also lists the same sequence under 1 other name. The record is from RNAcentral.
ACACGGCCCAGACUCCUACGGGAGGCAGCAGUGGGGAAUAUUGCGCAAUGGGCGAAAGCCUGACGCAGCGACGCCGCGUGAGGGACGAAGGCCUUCGGGUUGUAAACCUCUUUCAGCAGGGACGAAGCGAAAGUGACGGUACCUGCAGAAGAAGCACCGGCCAACUACGUGCCAGCAGCCGCGGUAAUACGUAGGGUGCAAGCGUUGUCCGGAAUUAUUGGGCGUAAAGAGCUCGUAGGCGGUCUGUCACGUCGGCUGUGAAAACCCGAGGCUCAACCUCGGGCCUGCAGUCGAUACGGGCAGACUAGAGUUCGGUAGGGGAGACUGGAAUUCCUGGUGUAGCGGUGAAAUGCGCAGAUAUCAGGAGGAACACCGGUGGCGAAGGCGGGUCUCUGGGCCGAAACUGACGCUGAGGAGCGAAAGCGUGGGGAGCAAACAGGAUUAGAUACCCUGGUAGUCCACGCCGUANACGUUGGGCGCUAGGUGUGGGUUUCCUUCCACGGGAUCCGUGCCGCAGCUAACGCAUUAAGCGCCCCG